RNAcentral lists this ribosomal RNA (486 nucleotides) under uncultured Gammaproteobacteria bacterium. Its description in RNAcentral is "bacterial SSU rRNA". It matches the Rfam family "Bacterial small subunit ribosomal RNA", at positions 74 to 558 of the family's 1533-position model. The record is from RNAcentral. Lineage: Bacteria; Pseudomonadati; Pseudomonadota; Gammaproteobacteria.
AGCACUUCGGUGCGAGUACAGCGGCGGACGGGUGAGUAACGCGUAGGAAUCUACCCGGUAGUGGGGGACAACUUGUGGAAACGCAAGCUAACACCGCAUACGCCCCAAGGGGGAAAGCGGGGGAUCUUCGGACCUCGCGCUAUCGGAUGAGCCUGCGUAGGAUUAGCUAGUUGGUGGGGUAAAGGCUCACCAAGGCGACGAUCCUUAGCUGGUCUGAGAGGAUGAUCAGCCACACUGGGACUGAGACACGGCCCAGACUCCUACGGGAGGCAGCAGUGGGGAAUAUUGCGCAAUGGGGGCAACCCUGACGCAGCCAUGCCGCGUGUGUGAAGAAGGCCUUAGGGUUGUAAAGCACUUUCAAUUGGGAAGAAAAGUUGCAGGUUAAUAACCUGCAGCCCUGACAUUACUUUAGAAGAAACACCGGCUAACUCCGUGCCAGCAGCCGCGGUAAUACGGAGGGUGCGAGCGUUAAUCGGAAUUACUGGG